GAUGAACGCUGGCGGCGUGCUUAACACAUGCAAGUCGAACGGAAAGACCCUGCUGUUGUGGGUUUCUCGAGUGGCGAACGGGUGAGUAACACGCGCGUAACCUGCCCUUGACUUUGGGAUAACUUCAGGAAACUGAGGCUAAUACCGGAUAGGAGCUCCUGCUCCACGCAGGGGGCUGGAAAGUUUGGGCGGUUGGGGAUGGACUCGCGGCUGAUCCGCUUGUUGGUGGGGUAGUGGCUUGCUAAGGCUUCGACGGGUAGCCGACCUGUGGGGGUGGCCAGCGACCUUAGGACUAAGGUACGGCGCAGACUGCAACGUGACGCAGCAGUGGAGAAUAUUACGCAGUGAGCGGAAGCGUGAUGAAGCGGCGCUGGGUUCGGGAAGACGGGUUGCGGGUGGUGAACCGGUUUCGCAUGUAACGAACCGUGAGUGACGGUAAUGGAUCAAGAAGCACCGGCUAACUACGUG
RNAcentral lists this ribosomal RNA (468 nucleotides) under uncultured bacterium. Its description in RNAcentral is "partial 16S ribosomal RNA". It matches the Rfam family "Bacterial small subunit ribosomal RNA", at positions 28 to 507 of the family's 1533-position model. The record is from RNAcentral.